AUAGACCCGAAACCCGGUGAUCUAGCCAUGGGCAGGUUGAAGGUUGGGUAACACUAACUGGAGGACCGAACCGACUAAUGUUGAAAAAUUAGCGGAUGACUUGUGGCUGGGGGGGAAAGGCCAAUCAAACCGGGAGAUAGCUGGUUCUCCCCGAAAGCUAUUUAGGUAGCGCCUCGUGAAUUCAUCUCCGGGGGUAGAGCACUGUUUCGGCAAGGGGGUCAUCCCGACUUACCAACCCGAUGCAAACUGCGAAUACCGGAGAAUGUUAUCACGGGAGACACACGGCGGGUGCUAACGUCCGUCGUGAAGAGGGAAACAACCCAGACCGCCAGCUAAGGUCCCAAAGUCAUGGUUAAGUGGGAAACGAUGUGGGAAGGCCCAGACAGCCAGGAUGUUGGCUUAGAAGCAGCCAUCAUUUAAAGAAAGCGUAAUAGCUCACUGGUCGAGUCGGCCUGCGCGGAAGAUGUAACGGGGCUAAACCAUGCACCGAAGCUGCGGCAGCGACGCUUAUGCGUUGUUGGGUAGGGGAGCGUUCUGUAAGCCUGUGAAGGUGUG
RNAcentral lists this ribosomal RNA (555 nucleotides) under Escherichia coli. Its description in RNAcentral is "bacterial LSU rRNA". It matches the Rfam family "Bacterial large subunit ribosomal RNA", at positions 709 to 1260 of the family's 2925-position model. Lineage: Bacteria; Pseudomonadati; Pseudomonadota; Gammaproteobacteria; Enterobacterales; Enterobacteriaceae. The record is from RNAcentral.